This 84-nucleotide non-coding RNA is filed under the name Pelosinus fermentans. RNAcentral describes it as "Glycine sequence". It matches the Rfam family "Glycine riboswitch aptamer". Rfam says of the family: This family represents the bacterial glycine riboswitch. Glycine riboswitches usually consist of two metabolite-binding aptamers domains with similar structures in tandem. The record is from RNAcentral. Lineage: Bacteria; Bacillati; Bacillota; Negativicutes; Selenomonadales; Sporomusaceae.
GUGAGGGAUGCGGGAGAGAUCUGAUUUCAGGCGCCGAAGGAGCAAAGGCAAUAAACUCUCAGGCAAAAGGACCGUAUUCUAAUG